UUGUUUCUCCUUGCAGCCCCGGGGUUUCCAGGGGGAAGUUGAAGCCGGUGCUGGGGCCCUGAAGCCAUCCUUUUGAGGCGGGUUUCUUGGUCCAUGGGUCUCUGUUUGUGCUCUCGGAUGCGGAAUACUAUGCGGACAAAGGGCCUUUGGCCUUUGGUUGCUCCGAAUCUAGUCCCUCGACACGAACGACUAUCGUUACCUUAUUGGCCGUUGGGUUCAUUUGGUGCGA
RNAcentral lists this unclassified non-coding RNA (229 nucleotides) under Artocarpus thailandicus. RNAcentral's name for it is "partial contains external transcribed spacer and 18S ribosomal RNA". Lineage: Eukaryota; Viridiplantae; Streptophyta; Magnoliopsida; Rosales; Moraceae. The record is from RNAcentral.